This is a long non-coding RNA of Suricata suricatta (meerkat), 394 nucleotides long. RefSeq lists it as uncharacterized. The record is from RefSeq and is a predicted model, not a curated record. NCBI's taxonomy places the organism in Eukaryota, Metazoa, Chordata, Mammalia, Carnivora, Herpestidae. The transcript is spliced from 3 exons.
GAUCCUCCUUCUGUAGUCUCAUUGGAACAAGAAGUGAUCCACAGACUGUAUCUACAGCCCCUCCAGUCAAGAGGUGAGGACUAUUCAUUCCCCCACCCAAUGUAUCUAAGCUGGCCUCAUGACUUGCUUGGGACAAUAGAAUAUGAAAGAAGGACACGGAACCAGUUCCAAGGACAAGAAUUGUUCCAGAUAGAAGCUGCUUUUUCAACCUGGUUCCAGAAUGAAGACAGAACAGAAAUACAUCAGAACCAACUAUUGAUGAACAGGAAUGUGAAUGAGAAUUACAAUUCUGUUGUUCAAAGCUAAUAAGAUUUUGGGGGCUGUUUGUUAUACAGCUUAACUCACCUGGACCAAAAUAGGAGGGAUUACCAGUUGUAAUCAUUUGAUAAAGAGA